UGGGGAAUAUUGCACAAUGGGCGCAAGCCUGAUGCAGCCAUGCCGCGUGUGUGAAGAAGGCCUUCGGGUUGUAAAGCACUUUCAAGCGAGGAGGAAGGUGGUGAGCUUAAUACGCUCAUCAAUUGACGUUACUCGCAGAAGAAGCACCGGCUAACUCCGUGCCAGCAGCCGCGGUAAUACGGAGGGUGCAAGCGUUAAUCGGAAUUACUGGGCGUAAAGCGCACGCAGGCGGUUUGUUAAGUCAGNUGUGAAAUCCCCGGGCUCAACCUGGGAACUGCAUUUGAAACUGGCAAGCUAGAGUCUCGUAGAGGGGGGUAGAAUUCCAGGUGUAGCGGUGAAAUGCGUAGAGAUCUGGAGGAAUACCGGUGGCGAAGGNGGCCCCCUGGACGAAGACUGACGCUCAGGUGCGAAAGCGUGGGGCAGCAAACAGGAUUAGAUA
RNAcentral lists this ribosomal RNA (439 nucleotides) under uncultured bacterium. RNAcentral's name for it is "partial 16S ribosomal RNA". It matches the Rfam family "Bacterial small subunit ribosomal RNA", at positions 355 to 784 of the family's 1533-position model. The record is from RNAcentral.